CCUACUGGAUGCAGCAGUGGGGGAUAUUGCACAAUGGAGGGAACUCUGAUGCAGCGACGCCGCGUGGGUGAAGAAGUACUUCGUUAUGUAAAGCCCUAUCAGCAGGGAAGAAAGUGACGGUACCUGAAGAAGAAGCUCCGGCUAAAUACGUGCCAGCAGCCGCGGUAAUACGUAUGGAGCAAGCGUUAUCCGGAUUUACUGGGUGUAAAGGGAGAGUAGAUGGCAGAGCAAGUCCGAAGUGAAAGCCCAAAGCUCAACGAGGGGAAUGCUUUAGAAACUGCGCAGCUGGAGUGCAGGAGAGGCAGGUGGAAUUCUUAGUGUAGCGGUGAAAUGCGUAGAUAUUAGGAGGAACACCAGUGGCGAAGGCGGCUUGCUGGACUGUAACUGACACUGAGGCUCGAAAGCGUGGGGAGCAAACAGGAUUAGAUACCCCAGUAGUC
This 440-nucleotide ribosomal RNA is filed under the name uncultured bacterium. RNAcentral's name for it is "partial 16S ribosomal RNA". It matches the Rfam family "Bacterial small subunit ribosomal RNA", at positions 338 to 795 of the family's 1533-position model. The record is from RNAcentral.